Mobula hypostoma (lesser devil ray) is the source of this 372-nucleotide long non-coding RNA. RefSeq lists it as uncharacterized. NCBI's taxonomy places the organism in Eukaryota, Metazoa, Chordata, Chondrichthyes, Myliobatiformes, Myliobatidae. The transcript has 3 exons. The record is from RefSeq and is a predicted model, not a curated record.
CACUUUUUGCGAAGUAUAUUCCGCAUCUGAACUGCACAUUUUUCGAUACUAUAUCUGUGCUUUCAGAAGGUUUUGACACAAUUGGAAUAGAUGAAGACCUCCAAAGCCGCCAAUAUUGUCUAUUGUUAUUAUUGUACUUGGCCCAUAUGUAUGAUAACAGGCUUUUUUCAGAAGGUCCUUUAUUCAAAGCCAUUAGUAGCUUUUUACACACAUCCUUCAAUCGAGGACAUUCACCUCCGUCCUUUGUGCUUAGAGCCGCAAUCUAUCUGUUGUCUAUAUGCCAAGAAAAGUGCAACAAGCUAGAUUUGAUAUCACUGAAAUCCAUUUGUAAAUUCCUGGAGAGCACAGCCACAGUUUCUUCUGUGUAUACCA